RNAcentral lists this ribosomal RNA (422 nucleotides) under uncultured bacterium. RNAcentral's name for it is "bacterial SSU rRNA". It matches the Rfam family "Bacterial small subunit ribosomal RNA", at positions 355 to 774 of the family's 1533-position model. The record is from RNAcentral.
UGAGGAAUAUUGGUCAAUGGGUGCAAGCCUGAACCAGCCAUCCCGCGUGAAGGACGACUGCCCUAUGGGUUGUAAACUUCUUUUGUAUAGGGAUAAACCUACCCUCGUGAGGGUAGCUGAAGGUACUAUACGAAUAAGCACCGGCUAACUCCGUGCCAGCAGCCGCGGUAAUACGGAGGGUGCAAGCGUUAUCCGGAUUUAUUGGGUUUAAAGGGUCCGUAGGCGGACUUAUAAGUCAGUGGUGAAAGCCUGUCGCUUAACGAUAGAACUGCCAUUGAUACUGUAAGUCUUGAGUAUAUUUGAGGUAGCUGGAAUAAGUAGUGUAGCGGUGAAAUGCAUAGAUAUUACUUAGAACACCAAUUGCGAAGGCAGGUUACCAAGAUAUAACUGACGCUGAGGGGCGAAAGCGUGGGGAGCGAACA